Molecule: ribosomal RNA, 468 nt
Filed under: uncultured bacterium
Lineage: Bacteria
Description: partial 16S ribosomal RNA
Rfam family: Bacterial small subunit ribosomal RNA
Source: RNAcentral
GACGAACGCUGGCGGCGUGCUUAACACAUGCAAGUCGAACGGAAAGGCCCUGCUUUUGUGGGGUGCUCGAGUGGCGAACGGGUGAGUAACACGUGAGUAACCUGCCCUUGACUUUGGGAUAACUUCAGGAAACUGGGGCUAAUACCGGAUAGGAGCUCCUGCUGCAUGGUGGGGGUUGGAAAGUUUCGGCGGUUGGGGAUGGACUCGCGGCUUAUCAGCUUGUUGGUGGGGUAGUGGCUUACCAAGGCUUUGACGGGUAGCCGGCCUGAGAGGGUGACCGGCCACAUGGGGACUGAGGGACGGCCCAGACUCCUACGGGAGGCAGCAGUGGGGAAUAUUGCACAAUGGGCGGAAGCCUGAUGCAGCAACGCCGCGUGCGGGAUGACGGCCUUCGGGUUGUAAACCGCUUUCGCCUGUGACGAAGCGUGAGUGACGGUAAUGGGUAAAGAAGCACCGGCUAACUACGUG